CGUAAAAUGGAUUCGUCUGCCCAAGGAUGGGUCUGCGGCCUAUCAGGUAGUAGUGGGUGUAAUGUACCUACUAGCCUACAACGGGUACGGGUUGUGAGAGCAAGAGCCCGGAGAUGGAUUCUGAGACAUGAAUCCAGGCCCUACGGGGCGCAGCAGGCGCGAAAACUUUACAAUGCGGGAAACCGUGAUAAGGGGACACCGAGUGCCAGCAUCAUAUGUUGGCUGUCCAGAUGUGUAAAAUACAUCUGUUAGCAAGGGCCGGGCAAGACCGGUGCCAGCCGCCGCGGUAACACCGGCGGCCCGAGUGGUGAUCGUGAUUAUUGGGUCUAAAGGGUCCGUAGCCGGUUUGGUCAGUCCUCCGGGAAAUCUGACGGCUCAACCGUUAGGCUUUCGGUGGAUACUGCCAGACUUGGAACCGGGAGAGGUAAGAGGUACUACAGGGGUAGGAGUGAAAUCUUGUAAUCCCUGUGAGACCACCUGUGGCGAAGGCGUCUUACCAGAACGGGUUCGACGGUGAGGGACGAAAGCUGGGGGCACGAACCGGAUUAGAUACCCGGGUAGUCCCAGCCGUAAACGAUGCUCGCUAGGUGUCAGGCAUGGCGCGACCGUGUCUGGUGCCGCAGGGAAGCCGUGAAGCGAGCCACCUGGGAAGUACGGCCGCAAGGCUGAAACUUAAAGGAAUUGGCGGGGGAGCACAACAACGGGUGGAGCCUGCGGUUUAAUUGGACUCAACGCCGGACAACUCACCGGGGACGACAGCAAAAUGUAGGCCAGGCUGAAGACCUUGCCUGAAUCGCUGAGAGGAGGUGCAUGGCCGUCGCCAGUUCGUACUGUGAAGCAUCCUGUUAAGUCAGGCAACGAGCGAGACCCGUGCCCACUGUUACCAGCAUGUCCUCCGGGACGAUGGGUACUCUGUGGGGACCGCCGAUGUUAAAUCGGAGGAAGGUGCGGGCCACGGUAGGUCAGUAUGCCCCGAAUUUCCCGGGCUACACGCGGGCUACAAUGAAUGGGACAAUGGGUCCCUCCCCUGAAAAGGGCUGGUAAUCUCCCAAACCCAUCC
Molecule: ribosomal RNA, 1060 nt
Filed under: Methanosarcina thermophila
Lineage: Archaea; Methanobacteriati; Methanobacteriota; Methanomicrobia; Methanosarcinales; Methanosarcinaceae
Description: bacterial SSU rRNA
Rfam family: Archaeal small subunit ribosomal RNA
Source: RNAcentral